RNAcentral lists this ribosomal RNA (216 nucleotides) under Glomeromycotina sp. RNAcentral describes it as "partial small subunit ribosomal RNA". The stretch from base 40 to 216 matches the Rfam family "Eukaryotic small subunit ribosomal RNA", at positions 686 to 864 of the family's 1831-position model. Lineage: Eukaryota; Fungi; Glomeromycota. The record is from RNAcentral.
GGGCCAGUAGGUUGGUCGUGCCACCGGUACGUACUGGUCUCACUGAUUCCUCCUUCCUGAAGAACCGUAAUGCCAUUAAUUUGGUGUUGCGGGGAAACAGGACUUUUACUUUGAAAAAAUUAGAGUGUUUAAAGCAAGCUAACGCUUGAAUACAUUAGCAUUGAAUAAUGAAAUAGGACGAUCGAUCCUAUUUUGUUGGUUUCUAGGAUUGACGUA